This 247-nucleotide long non-coding RNA is filed under the name Elaeis guineensis (African oil palm). RNAcentral describes it as "long non-coding RNA (EGUI_LNC041535)". The record is from RNAcentral. Lineage: Eukaryota; Viridiplantae; Streptophyta; Magnoliopsida; Arecales; Arecaceae.
CAACCAUUUUAAUCCUUAUCAGGGUCAGAUCGAACCACAGUCAUUCGAUCAUGCCUGAAAUUGGUUCUGGGCCGUUGGAUCGUGCAAAAGAAUCCUCUUAUAAACCGACAACGAACAGCAGCCGUUGGAUAUAAGUCGGAUUGAAUCUCAACCGUUGGAUCAUGUCCUGGAUCUUUCUCUCGUUGCGAGGCGCACCUGUGGACUACGUAUUAUUUUUGUGGAUCGAGCGGUCGGUCCACCAUGCACC